UACGUAGGUGGCAAGCGUUGUCCGGAUUUAUUGGGUUUAAAGGGUGCGUAGGCGGCCCUGUAAGUCAGUGGUGAAAUAUCUCAGCUUAACUGAGAGGGUGCCAUUGAUACUGCAGGGCUUGAGUACAGAUGAGGUAGGCGGAAUUGACGGUGUAGCGGUGAAAUGCAUAGAUAUCGUCAAGAACACCGAUAGCGAAGGCAGCUUACCAAGCUGUAACUGACGCUGAGGCACGAAAGUGUGGGGAUCAAACAGG
RNAcentral lists this ribosomal RNA (253 nucleotides) under uncultured bacterium. Its description in RNAcentral is "partial 16S ribosomal RNA". It matches the Rfam family "Bacterial small subunit ribosomal RNA", at positions 524 to 776 of the family's 1533-position model. The record is from RNAcentral.